Molecule: long non-coding RNA, 276 nt
Filed under: Elaeis guineensis (African oil palm)
Lineage: Eukaryota; Viridiplantae; Streptophyta; Magnoliopsida; Arecales; Arecaceae
Description: long non-coding RNA (EGUI_LNC063227)
Source: RNAcentral
CUCCUUCACUUUGUUUCAAGAGUUCUAGCCCCUAGAACUUGACUAGCCCUGUAUCGGUCAGAUUUCUUUAAGAACCUAACUCCACCCUCUUAGAAUCUUCUCUAAACUUUUGAAUCUCCUUCUUUAGAACCUUCACAACCUUUUUUUUUUUGACCAGAUAUGAUUUUGUCUUAAAUCCUAAAGCCUUGUCCUAAAACUAACAUAGGUUGUAAGAAAGAAGAGAGAGCAACGGAGAGGAGUUGGAAAGUAGAUUUGAAUGCAUUGGACACCUAGCAC